This 465-nucleotide ribosomal RNA is filed under the name uncultured bacterium. RNAcentral describes it as "partial 16S ribosomal RNA". It matches the Rfam family "Bacterial small subunit ribosomal RNA", at positions 28 to 507 of the family's 1533-position model. The record is from RNAcentral.
GACGAACGCUGGCGGCGUGCUUAACACAUGCAAGUCGAACGGAAAGGCCCUGCUUGCAGGGUACUCGAGUGGCGAACGGGUGAGUAACACGUGGGUGAUCUGCCCUGCACUUCGGGAUAAGCUUGGGAAACUGGGUCUAAUACCGGAUAGGAGCCAUCUUUAGUGUGGUGGUUGGAAAGUUUUUUCGGUGUAGGAUGAGCUCGCGGCCUAUCAGCUUGUUGGUGGGGUAAUGGCCUACCAAGGCGGCGACGGGUAGCCGGCCUGGGAGGGUGUACGGCCACAUUGGGACUGAGAUACGGCCCAGACUCCGACGGGAGGCAGCAGGGGGGAAUAUUGCACAAUGGGCGCAAGCCUGAUGCAGCGACGCCGCGGGGGGGAUGAAGGGCUUCGGGUUGGAAACUCCUUUCGCUAGGGACGAAGCUUUUUGUGACGGUACCUAGAGAAGAAGCACCGGCUAACUACGUG